Long non-coding RNA from Aricia agestis (brown argus), 626 nucleotides. RefSeq lists it as uncharacterized. NCBI's taxonomy places the organism in Eukaryota, Metazoa, Arthropoda, Insecta, Lepidoptera, Lycaenidae. The record is from RefSeq and is a predicted model, not a curated record. The transcript has 3 exons.
UUAGGAAAUCAGUAGGAAUCUAAAAUUCGUACGAGUAUCUCAAAUUCGGUAUUUUACAUUCCCAGUUUAAAAACGAAAAAAAUGUAUUCGAUAGUAUUUACUUUCUUUUAAUGUUAGAUUUUUUUAAUAAUUUAUAACACGGUGCAUAAUAUAAGUUGCCAUUAUAUAAUUUUAAUAGUAUUUAUUAUUUUCUGUGAUAAAACAUUGUUUUUGAAGAGAACCAUUAUUUACUCGUGGAAAUAUGCUGAAUAUAUUUUUAAUGCAUUUUUAGAGGAAAAAUUCAUUUUUUAUUUUAAGCGAAAAUCAUGGUAACUUCUUGUAAAUAUAAGGGUAAGGUUGGAUGGUGCAAGAGGGAGUUUUUUUUCGGGUCAAGAGGAAUUUUUGCCACUGGCAAUCUUGAUAUAUGGGCCGUCUUGCCCCAUCUGCCGAUAGUAUAUUUUGUAACAGUCGCCCGCAGUGCUAGUGUAGUACGGUACGAUAGAGUACGUUUAUUGGGUUUUCAGUCCGCCUACAGACGAUUUCGACGUUUGGGAGCUAUUUUAUAAUUGUUUUGACGUCAGCGCCGACAGAGUAGCGAGUUCUACCUCUAACGACAUAAUAGAUGUACAAUAUAGACUUGAAAAUAU